UCCAGCAGCCAUAUCACUCUGCAACUCACAACUGGCAACCCACUGAAGCUAAGCAGGUGUGAGGCUGGUCAGUACCUGGAUGGGAAACCUCUUGGGAAAAACUAAGGUUGCUGCUGGAA
Molecule: ribosomal RNA, 119 nt
Filed under: Lepisosteus oculatus (spotted gar)
Lineage: Eukaryota; Metazoa; Chordata; Actinopteri; Semionotiformes; Lepisosteidae
Source: RNAcentral